UUUUCCCUUUAAUAUAAACCUAGUUGGUGCUGUGACCACAGUUCAACAACACAACAGUAUCCAGAAUUUCAAGGUGUCCUUAGGGCAUUCUGAAAAUAAAGAAGAGCGUAUGUUAUGACUGUGACAGAGCCAUAAUAAAUGUUACUAUUUUUAGGUAGGCUGUGCAUUAGUCAGUCCCUUAGAGAUUUAGGAUCUAUUAUACUAUCCCAAUCUAUUAUACUGUUGUGACAGCUGAAAUUCCACCACGUGUUCAAGCACUUCAAACCUAACAUAACGUGUUGAUCAUGUACGGAAACAAAUGACUAAGGAACAGAGCAUGGGUGCAAAAA
Pezoporus flaviventris is the source of this 329-nucleotide long non-coding RNA. RefSeq lists it as uncharacterized. The transcript is spliced from 2 exons. The record is from RefSeq and is a predicted model, not a curated record. Lineage: Eukaryota; Metazoa; Chordata; Aves; Psittaciformes; Psittacidae.